GGGUUGUGAGGUUAAGCGACUAAGCGUACACGGUGGAUGCCCUGGCAGUCAGAGGCGAUGAAGGACGUGCUAAUCUGCGAUAAGCGUCGGUGAGGUGAUAUGAACCGUUAUAACCGGCGAUUUCCGAAUGGGGAAACCCAGUGUGUUUCGACACACUAUCAUUAACUGAAUCCAUAGGUUAAUGAGGCGAACCGGGGGAACUGAAACAUCUAAGUACCCCGAGGAAAAGAAAUCAACCGAGAUUCCCCCAGUAGCGGCGAGCGAACGGGGAGGAGCCCAGAGCCUGAAUCAGUGUGUGUGUUAGUGGAAGCGUCUGGAAAGGCGCGCGAUACAGGGUGACAGCCCCGUACACAAAAAUGCACAUAUUGUGAGCUCGAUGAGUAGGGCGGGACACGUGGUAUCCUGUCUGAAUAUGGGGGGACCAUCCUCCAAGGCUAAAUACUCCUGACUGACCGAUAGUGAACCAGUACCGUGAGGGAAAGGCGAAAAGAACCCCGGCGAGGGGAGUGAAAAAGAACCUGAAACCGUGUACGUACAAGCAGUGGGAGCCUCUUAAUGGGGUGACUGCGUACCUUUUGUAUAAUGGGUCAGCGACUUAUAUUCUGUAGCAAGGUUAACCGAAUAGGGGAGCCGGAGGGAAACCGAGUCUUAACUGGGCGUUAAGUUGCAGGGUAUAGACCCGAAACCCGGUGAUCUAGCCAUGGGCAGGUUGAAGGUUGGGUAACACUAACUGGAGGACCGAACCGACUAAUGUUGAAAAAUUAGCGGAUGACUUGUGGCUGGGGGUGAAAGGCCAAUCAAACCGGGAGAUAGCUGGUUCUCCCCGAAAGCUAUUUAGGUAGCGCCUCGUGAAUUCAUCUCCGGGGGUAGAGCACUGUUUCGGCAAGGGGGUCAUCCCGACUUACCAACCCGAUGCAAACUGCGAAUACCGGAGAAUGUUAUCACGGGAGACACACGGCGGGUGCUAACGUCCGUCGUGAAGAGGGAAACAACCCAGACCGCCAGCUAAGGUCCCAAAGUCAUGGUUAAGUGGGAAACGAUGUGGGAAGGCCCAGACAGCCAGGAUGUUGGCUUAGAAGCAGCCAUCAUUUAAAGAAAGCGUAAUAGCUCACUGGUCGAGUCGGCCUGCGCGGAAGAUGUAACGGGGCUAAACCAUGCACCGAAGCUGCGGCAGCGACGCUUAUGCGUUGUUGGGUAGGGGAGCGUUCUGUAAGCCUGCGAAGGUGUGCUGUGAGGCAUGCUGGAGGUAUCAGAAGUGCGAAUGCUGACAUAAGUAACGAUAAAGCGGGUGAAAAGCCCGCUCGCCGGAAGACCAAGGGUUCCUGUCCAACGUUAAUCGGGGCAGGGUGAGUCGACCCCUAAGGCGAGGCCGAAAGGCGUAGUCGAUGGGAAACAGGUUAAUAUUCCUGUACUUGGUGUUACUGCGAAGGGGGGACGGAGAAGGCUAUGUUGGCCGGGCGACGGUUGUCCCGGUUUAAGCGUGUAGGCUGGUUUUCCAGGCAAAUCCGGAAAAUCAAGGCUGAGGCGUGAUGACGAGGCACUACGGUGCUGAAGCAACAAAUGCCCUGCUUCCAGGAAAAGCCUCUAAGCAUCAGGUAACAUCAAAUCGUACCCCAAACCGACACAGGUGGUCAGGUAGAGAAUACCAAGGCGCUUGAGAGAACUCGGGUGAAGGAACUAGGCAAAAUGGUGCCGUAACUUCGGGAGAAGGCACGCUGAUAUGUAGGUGAAGCGACUUGCUCGUGGAGCUGAAAUCAGUCGAAGAUACCAGCUGGCUGCAACUGUUUAUUAAAAACACAGCACUGUGCAAACACGAAAGUGGACGUAUACGGUGUGACGCCUGCCCGGUGCCGGAAGGUUAAUUGAUGGGGUUAGCGGUAACGCGAAGCUCUUGAUCGAAGCCCCGGUAAACGGCGGCCGUAACUAUAACGGUCCUAAGGUAGCGAAAUUCCUUGUCGGGUAAGUUCCGACCUGCACGAAUGGCGUAAUGAUGGCCAGGCUGUCUCCACCCGAGACUCAGUGAAAUUGAACUCGCUGUGAAGAUGCAGUGUACCCGCGGCAAGACGGAAAGACCCCGUGAACCUUUACUAUAGCUUGACACUGAACAUUGAGCCUUGAUGUGUAGGAUAGGUGGGAGGCUUUGAAGUGUGGACGCCAGUCUGCAUGGAGCCGACCUUGAAAUACCACCCUUUAAUGUUUGAUGUUCUAACGUUGGCCCCUGAUCGGGGUUGCGGACAGUGUCUGGUGGGUAGUUUGACUGGGGCGGUCUCCUCCUAAAGAGUAACGGAGGAGCACGAAGGUUGGCUAAUCCUGGUCGGACAUCAGGAGGUUAGUGCAAUGGCAUAAGCCAGCUUGACUGCGAGCGUGACGGCGCGAGCAGGUGCGAAAGCAGGUCAUAGUGAUCCGGUGGUUCUGAAUGGAAGGGCCAUCGCUCAACGGAUAAAAGGUACUCCGGGGAUAACAGGCUGAUACCGCCCAAGAGUUCAUAUCGACGGCGGUGUUUGGCACCUCGAUGUCGGCUCAUCACAUCCUGGGGCUGAAGUAGGUCCCAAGGGUAUGGCUGUUCGCCAUUUAAAGUGGUACGCGAGCUGGGUUUAGAACGUCGUGAGACAGUUCGGUCCCUAUCUGCCGUGGGCGCUGGAGAACUGAGGGGGGCUGCUCCUAGUACGAGAGGACCGGAGUGGACGCAUCACUGGUGUUCGGGUUGUCAUGCCAAUGGCACUGCCCGGUAGCUAAAUGCGGAAGAGAUAAGUGCUGAAAGCAUCUAAGCACGAAACUUGCCCCGAGAUGAGUUCUCCCUGAGACUUUAAGUCUCCUGAAGGAACGUUGAAGACGACGACGUUGAUAGGCCGGGUGUGUAAGCGCAGCGAUGCGUUGAGCUAACCGGUACUAAUGAACCGUGAGG
RNAcentral lists this ribosomal RNA (2905 nucleotides) under Escherichia coli. Its description in RNAcentral is "partial 23S ribosomal RNA". It matches the Rfam family "Bacterial large subunit ribosomal RNA". Lineage: Bacteria; Pseudomonadati; Pseudomonadota; Gammaproteobacteria; Enterobacterales; Enterobacteriaceae. The record is from RNAcentral.